This 84-nucleotide transfer RNA is filed under the name Mustela putorius furo (domestic ferret). It matches the Rfam family "tRNA". Rfam says of the family: Transfer RNA (tRNA) molecules are approximately 80 nucleotides in length. Their secondary structure includes four short double-helical elements and three loops (D, anti-codon, and T loops). The record is from Rfam by way of RNAcentral. Lineage: Eukaryota; Metazoa; Chordata; Mammalia; Carnivora; Mustelidae.
GCCUGAGUGGCUCAGUGGGUUAAGCCUCUGCCUUCAGCUCAGGUCAUGAUCCCAGGGUCGUGGGAUCGAGCCCCGUCUCGGGCU